UGGGCGUCCGGGCGCCGCGUCUACCCGCGGUGCAUGGUGGGGCCGUCGCCUCAGACAACCAGGUCCGGGCGGCCCCGAGGCUGUGCGGAGCCGGUAAGGCGGCGGAAUGCGCCGGGCUACCGCGCCAUCCGCGUACCUGCCGAGCCCCGACUACUACAAGAGGCUGGACCACCUCCAGCAAGGGCUGCGGGACAGUGAAAAGAAGAGAUUGGAACUAGAAAGGAAACUCUAUGAAUGUAAUCAAUCUGAUAUAUGCAGAGUUAAGCCGAAGUAUGGAGAACUAAAGAAAUACCUGAAGGAAAUAUGUGAAUCAGAAAAGAGGGCUCGAACUCGAAACCAAGAAUACUUAAAGCGGUUUGAGCAGAUCCAAGCUCACCUUGGGCACUUUACCGCAAAGGCAGAACUGAAGCUGCAAGAACUGAAGGUUGAAUAUGAGACUCAACUUAAGAAGAUGCAGCUACUUUCAAAAGAGGAAAAGAGUGAAGUGAAAGAGGAGGAUGGAGCAAAGCUUGUAAUGCCAGCAAAAAUUAACUUGGGGACAGCUGUGUCAAGAGGAUUGUAUCAGCCAGCAACAAUCUUUAUGGGCCGCCAAAUGUCAGCCGUCUCAAGCAUGGGGGAUUUCAGUGCAGAGCAGAAAUCUCCCCAGCCCACAAAGAACUUUUCAAUUCCUGACCCACAUUCACACCGACAGACAGCCCAGCGCAGUGAUGUGACAGACAGCGAUGUAGUACAAACUAAUGGUGACAAGCAGUGCUUAAAUAAGUCUGACAAAACAGAUGGAAAGACAUCUCUUCAGAUUGGUGAGAAAAUGCCCGUCACAGCCAGCGCCUUGUCUGAGGAGGAACAGACUCAUUGCUCCAAGAUAGGAAGCGGUGCCUGUCUUGGCAAGAGUCAUUUAUCUGAAGGCAGAAGGUCCCCUGGGCUCUAUUCCCCGUUACAGGCGAGAUUAAGCCCAAAGAACAGAACCACUGAUUUAAAGUGCGACGGUUCCAGCAGAUUGGAGGGAACAGAGGCAGAAAUUCUGACACGGAAACAUAUUGAAGUUGAGGAAGAAAGAGCCAGACCGCUAGUCCCCUUGCUAUCAGCCUCAGAAUCCUGUGCAUCUGAAAAUAAGUGUUCUCAAGAGAAGCAUGACGCUCAGGAAGCUUUCUCAGGUGAGGUGAGAGACCAUCCUCUGUACGGGGACCCUGGGUCACAGCAGCCCUUCAGGAAAUUGCAGGAAGAGCAAGAGGAGCAUUCGGGCAGCAGCAGUGACCUCACAGUUUCUAUAAGCGAAGAUGAUCUGAUUUUAGAGACUCCAGAACCACAGUCAAAUCCAGCUGAUACGAUGGAGGGAGAAGAUGGAAUAGAGGCCUUAAACCUAAUCCACUCUGAGCAAGAAAGAGACGCCCUAUCCACUAAAAAACAGAAUUGUAUUGUGCAAACUGUAAGCUCUCUGGAUUCAAAAAAGGAGUCCUCCACUAACUUGCCAGCAAGAGAGCUCUCUGAUCACCGUGACAUUGUGAAAGAAGACCUUGAAGCCUGCGGAGCCGCCGUCCUUCACCAGCCUCCAAGACUCUCCCUGGGGGGUGGCAGCCAUGAAGCCCCUGGCAGAGUUGAACAAGCCUCAGGCUUAGUGAGGACACAAUCGGGUCAGCAUGUUGCCACCUUGAAAGGACAUGAUAAUUCUUCCCAAGAAGAGGUAGCGAAGCUGUCUGAAGUUUUCCCAGUCAAGAACAUGGACCAGAGAAUGAGGGUGGCAGCAGCACUGUGGAAGGACCUUCCAGAAGAGGAUGUGGAGAGGUCGGCUGUUGGCAGUAGGAAGUCAUCCUGCAGCUCACCAUCUACCCUGAAUGCCAGCAGUGGAGUAAAGGAUGCAGAGCCCGCCCUGUGGCUCAGCGGUGGUCCUACAAGGAAAGAAGAAGUUUCAAAUGACUGCAGAGAGGAGAGUGCCGAAGAAAGCGAGGAAGCAAGGAUGCCCAUCACAGAAACGAAAGCCUACCAGAUGCUGAAGCAGUCCACCCUUCAGGACAGCGCCCGUCAGCAUGAAGCCAAAUCGCAGAAGGUGGCAGCCCCUGCCUCACAGCUGUUGGGUGAGCAGGGCAGACGGGCCAUGUCUGGGAGGCCCCAGGCCGUGGCAGGGCUGGGUUCACAGAAGGGUGCUCCCGCUUCGAAGGUUUCUGGACUUGGUUUUGUAACAAGUUGUCAUUGGGUCAGAAUGAGCCAGGACUUUUCCAGUCCUAGACAAACUAGAGCUGGGACGAGUAGUCCUCCCUCCAGGAUGUGUGCUGGCGAUGGCCCUACAGACCCUUGGAUUCUGCCUGGCCUGUCGCCACAGGAGCCACCCCAAGCCCCUUCUCUUUGCACGUCCUCCGGCUUCUGGAGCAGCAGUGGGUUGUGUCAUCUGGGCUCUACUUCCUUGCCAGAAGGUUGGGGCAUUGCGGGGUCCAAUGAACAUGGAAAGACUGAGGGAAAGCUCAGUUUUAAGCUUCAGUGUAAUUCCUUCAGUCUAGGGUUUUUGUUUUAAUUGUAAUUUCUUUAGCUUUCCUAUGUAUUAUAUUUGUAAUAUUUUUACCGGUUUUUACUUUAUUACAUUUUUUUAAAAAUAUAAGUCAUCUCAGCUUUCCUUUGUGAAUGUGCAUGGAUUAAUAAUGGAAGGAAGUAUGUACUUUAAUGACUUUUCUAUUUGUAUUAUAAACCACAGGUUAGAAUUCCACCUAUCAGAAAGAACAGUGAUUCCUUAACAUCCCGUAAUUCCCAGUCCACAUUCGGAUUUCCAGCUGUCUCAAAGAUGUCUUCAUCAGACAGACACGUUUUUGAGGGAGAUGUUUAUGGUUUGAAUGUUGGCAGCGGCACC
RNA transcript from Phacochoerus africanus (Common warthog), 2836 nucleotides. It is a transcript of the gene named kizuna centrosomal protein, with no coding region annotated. The transcript has 12 exons. The record is from RefSeq and is a predicted model, not a curated record. NCBI's taxonomy places the organism in Eukaryota, Metazoa, Chordata, Mammalia, Artiodactyla, Suidae.